CUUCAUCGACCCCAGCAGCGCCGGGUGUUCGGCGGAUCGGCCCUGGCCGUACGUGGCGAGCAGCGCCUGUGCCUC
RNAcentral lists this antisense RNA (75 nucleotides) under Streptomyces sp. PRh5. RNAcentral's name for it is "ASpks sRNA". It matches the Rfam family "ASpks TB sRNA". Lineage: Bacteria; Bacillati; Actinomycetota; Actinomycetes; Kitasatosporales; Streptomycetaceae. The record is from RNAcentral.